UCUACAGUGACCUGUUAGGACUCCGGUCAGAUCUGCUAUAAUCCCUCUGUGAGGGGACAGCAGCCAUGCUAUCCUAGCUUUAGUUGAAUUUAAUAGCUGCUCUUUGAUCUGCCGGCAGCCACUGUUUAUACUCCAAUUUUCAAUAGUCUUUUCCCAUGCCCAGUUGUCCAGGAUCGAACACCUCGAGAUCCAUCCACCAGACCACCGAGCCGCCAAUUACUUUAGGUCUCAUCACAGGAGUAGGUAGCUAGUGUAGGAUAUUGGGCUCCAUACGCCACUACCUACUACCUACCCUUUGAGCUUCCUACCAACUACUCUUUGAAAGUGCGACAAAAUGACAAUUUCUUUGUGGACUACCUAAGUGACGUAUUUACUACACGUUAGCUUGCUGUCCAGCCUAAGUAUUUGACUAAGACGACGAAGUACUUGACCUUUUGCUUGACUUGCACGAGAUAAUUUAGUGUAUCUUCUUUAGUGCUUUCUCCUAUCUUUAAAGAGCCUAUUUGACGUCUUCUAUCCGAGUCAAGAAGUUUGACCAGGCUGGGGGAAUCAGACAUUGUUUCGAGUACACUACAGAAUAUUUGCCAGGUAGCUCUUUUGUUUCUUCUCAUUUCGUCCUUAACGCGAUUUUCCACCUGUAUACUCAUCCAAACCCUCUUGGUAUCCUUUCCGAAAUAAGCUCGUAGUAACUAUGCAAUUUUUCAGCUUGUAAUUUUUUAGAUACUUGCACACUUUUUAGAUACUAACACACCGCGGGUGAACUAGAACGGGGACCCCAGGGUCGCAGCUGCGGGUCUGAUUCACCCUCUGCCCCCGCGCCUAUUGCACCACGGCAAUUAUUCGGUUCAUUUAUCUUUCUAAAUAUGAAAUUUGGAACUGUACUGUUACUGUGCAUAAUAAUAUUACAAAAAAAUUGAAUUUUGAAAUAUUUCUUUAUCUUUGUUGGCAUCCGAGAAAAAUCGAAUUUUCUGUAUUUAUGUUUUGUUAUGAAAGACAGCACAAAUUAAUGCCAAAUUAGUAAUAUACCAUUAUUUAGUAGACGCAUUCCAAGUAUUUUCAACACUUAUUGGCGAUUUGUAGCCUGCGCUUCACUUUUUAGAAACCGUCCGUCAUUUCAUCGGAUUAAUGAUAAGAUUUUGGCAUUAACUUUAAAACGGCAUCAGCAUCUACUCUCUAUUAAUAGUAAAAGUGGCUUCGUCUGAAAGUAACAGUCUGAAAUUAUUUGUUCCUUAUCAAGCAAAUUCUUCAUGGCUUUGCAAAAUUCUCACCUACGAUCAGGAUCGUCCUCUAGCAGCUCCUGCACCUUCUUCAUUUUAAAAGCUCUUUUUCCUGCUGACUUUGAGAGAUUUUUAAAACUAUUUUGUGACAUACAUCGUACUCCCGAGCUACUUGCCUUGCCGGAAUAAUAGGUAUAAUAUCUAGAUUUGUAUCCUCGCUCGAUGGUUCUGUCUACGAGUUCUAAUUGCUCCUCAAUUUUACUCACGGUACUUUGACUCAGUGGGAGCAAAUUAGGAUAAGUUUCACGAAAUAGCGCCACAACUUUAUUUUCAGUUCUCAUCCGGUUUACACCCUAAUCAUCAUUAGUAUUUCGAUUUUUAAACCUUCUGUUAAGUACGGCAUUUUAGCUAAAUAAAUACUAAUUAAUAAAUACAGGGUACUUACUGUAGCAAAGAACACUUUUCUAAUACUAAUUCAACAAUUUUUAACACCUUCCCAUUAUUUAAUUCGAUUUAUUUCACAAAAACCUGUUUGUACGUUUUUUUAUUAAACAAAAAAUUGAAUUUUUGUUUAAUAAAUAUAUAUUUCUUUCACUUAAAGGUGAUCAUUUACGGCGGUGGCUUGUACAGGGUGGCCAAAUAGGCGAGGUAAGCGGUUGUAUCUCAGGACCUGUACAUCUGGCAACAAUGGAAUUUUUUUUAUUAUUAUAAAAGUGGCGCAACUAAAAAUGAAAUAAACGAAACGUCUUUUUCUCCGAAAACUUAAAUAUUAACCUAUACUUUUGAUAUUAUUUUUAGUAAGCCUAGAUAAUUUGCUAUAAAUUUGGUUUAUGAAUUAUUGACGUACGAACGAUAGUAGGGGUGGGGGAAGCUAUUGAAAGUGGAAUCAUUAAAAUCGGUGUAAAUUCUAAACUACUUAUUCGAUUUGAGCAAUUCAAAAUUUAUUUGCAAGAUAAAUGUAGCUGCUUUAAAAGUCUGAUCUCAUUGCUACCCUAUAGUUCCUAAUAAAACCGCCAGAGGGCGCAAUUUGUUAUAAUUCCAGUUUUUUCAUUUUGCUUUAAAAAUUCAAAUAGAAUGGUAUAUUUUUGACAUUCUAUUUAAAAAGUAAAUAAAAUUUGCAAAAGUACUGUAAAAACCGCACGAUGAUAUCUUUGCUCGUUUUAAAGUUAUAGCGAAUUAAAGUUUUUUACGCACCGAGCCUAAACUUGUGUGUCCCGCCUAAAAAUCUCUAAUUAGUAUUACCACAACUAGAAUACCAUGAUGUUGUCAUAAUUAAUAAAUUAUUAUAGUAGUAAUUGAUUGAUAAAUAAUAAAUUAAUAAUACCUAUGUGUCACAGAAUAACUGGAAGUUUAUGUGACUUUCUUAAGGCGAAUAAUUUUAUUAACGAAUUUCUUUUUAUAUUUAAAUUAUGGUCCUGAAAAGGACCGAUUUUAAACCCAAUCAUAUUUGGUAUUUAAUGCCUCGAUAGGUGUUCAAUGUAUUACUUUGGCGUUAUGUAUAAAACAGUUGAAAAUAGCAAAAUAUCAAUCGGGUGUUAAGCAAGCAAUCAUUGCUAAGCAGUUAGGAUUAAACCGCUCAGUGGUUUCCAAAACCAUAAAGUUACACUGCAUUAGGAACUUUAUUAUUAUAAAAGUGGCGCAACUAAAAAUGAAAUAAACGAAACGUCUUUUUCUCCGAAAACUUAAAUAUUAACCUAUACUUUUGAUAUUAUUUUUAGUAAGCCUAGAUAAUUUGCUAUAAAUUUGGUUUAUGAAUUAUUGACGUACGAACGAUAGUAGGGGUGGGGGAAGCUAUUGAAAGUGGAAUCAUUAAAAUCGGUGUAAAUUCUAAACUACUUAUUCGAUUUGAGCAAUUCAAAAUUUAUUUGCAAGAUAAAUGUAGCUGCUUUAAAAGUCUGAUCUCAUUGCUACCCUAUAGUUCCUAAUAAAAGCGCCAGAGGGCGCAAUUUGUUAUAAUUCCAGUUUUUUCAUUUUGCUUUAAAAAUUCAAAUAGAAUGGUAUAUUUUUGACAUUCUAUUUAAAAAGUAAAUAACAUUUGCAAAAGUACUGUAAAAACCGCACGAUGAUAUCUUUGCUCGUUUUAAAGUUAUAGCGAAUUAAAGUUUUUUACGCAUCGAGCCUAAACUUGUGUGUCCCGCCUAAAAAUCUCUAAUUAGUAUUACCACAACUAGAAUACCAUGAUGUUGUCAUAAUUAAUAAAUUAUUAUAGUAGUAAUUGAUUGAUAAAUAAUAAAUUAAUAAUACCUAUGUGUCACAGAAUAACUGGAAGUUUAUGUGACUUUCUUAAGGCGAAUAAUUUUAUUAACGAAUUUCUUUUUAUAUUUAAAUUAUGGUCCUGAAAAGGACCGAUUUUAAACCCAAUCAUAUUUGGUAUUUAAUGCCUCGAUAGGUGUUCAAUGUAUUACUUUGGCGUUAUGUAUAAAACAGUUGAAAAUAGCAAAAUAUCAAUCGGGUGUUAAGCAAGCAAUCAUUGCUAAGCAGUUAGGAUUAAACCGCUCAGUGGUUUCCAAAACCAUAAAGUUACACUGCAUUAGGAACUCAUUAAUAAGUCCACCUAAAACUGGUAGGCCUAGAAAAACGACGCCUAGAGUUGACGAGAAGAUUAAAUCCUUAGCUCUUAAAAAUCGAUUUAACACAGCAGUGGAUAUAAAAUCUCAACUAGACGAUGUAAAUAUUAGUGUCCCUUUCCAAUUUAUAAACUUUGUUUUGGCGGUAUGUGCAAAAUUCAUCCAACUGCUCAGGAAAAAUGCGGUAUCUUCUUAAUGCCUAACGAAUACGCGGCAAGUGCGCGUGGAUCGGACGCAUUUGCCGCUUUUUCGCUAAGCAGGCCGUAGUUGCCGCGAUUUUGCUGAGUAAAUUUAGUCGUUAAUUGGUAUCGCUGCAAAGUGGAUUGAUCAAAAAUCAAAGUUAAUAGAUUUUUGCAAAACCCUUGCAAAAGAUUCAGUCAAUAAUAAUGGCUUUAACAAUUGCUGGGAUCAUAAAAAAAGGUAAGUAAUGCUAUUUAAUUAGUAUUAUUCGUAAUAAUUUAUAUCAGUUACCAAAGGUAUGACGAUAAAAAGUUAGUACCCUAAUUUAUUAAAAUUCUAGAACGGAAAAUGAUUCUCAGAUGGAUAUCAACAGUAUUGAAGGCUCAGAGUAUAUUUUACAUACUUUACAACCUGCAGCUUUGCCGGAAUCGUGUCGGGGGGGGGGAGGGGGGGUUAUAAAACUGGACUUGCCAUGCACAUUAAUAAAUGACAAAGUGAUUUCUUGGAUAAAUAAUGAAGUGUACCACGCGAAUCCUAACAUUAAUGAUGAACAGAAAAAUACAAUGGAAGUAGAAAACAUAAACUUAAAUGAUUGCUAUUAUGAUAGCAACACAUCAAGUUUAUUAACAUCUGGCCAAUCCAUUCCUUACAAUAAUAAUUGUAAUCAAGUGACUGAUGAUGUUUUAGAAAUAGGAAGUAAUGAAGAGCAGACCAACUUAGCCAUAACAAUAAAUGAGGCAAGUGGUGAUAUUAUACCAAACAGAUCUGAAGUUAACGAUGUAACUUCUUAUAAUUUGAACCCUGUUGUCGUUGAUGACGGUUUAAUAAUAAAUAAUGAGGAAGCAAGCCUGAAAAAGAUUUAAAUAUUAGAAACUGUACCGCACUAUCUUAUACCAAGGAAAGCUCGAACGAUGAUUCUCAGAAUGUACCUCCUAUGCUUAUAACGGAAAAAUUUGUUGCGAAUCCUGAUCCGAAUGGACUGAAUAACAAUGAAACUAAUGAAGACCGGACAACAGCUAUUACAAUAAAUGGGGCAAGUGGUGACAUUGCUUCGAUAUCUAAUAAUAACGCACUGAAUAAUAAUGAUGAAUCUCGUGAACCUGCAGGAAACAAAAAAAGAAAAAAAACCGUCAUUGAUUUUGAAGCCAGAAAAACUCUCAAGAGGGAAAAGAUUGCUGAAAAUCAUAAGGUUUUACCAGGUUGUGCUGAUAAUUGCAAAAAAAAAUGUUCAUCUGCAUUUGAUCGACGUAGGAGAGAAGGAAUUAAUACGCAAUUUUGAAAAUUGUCCGAUCCCGAAAGAAAGUCUUUUUUUUUAGUUCAAGUGAGCGAUUGCAAACAAAACGAACCACUGGAGAAAAGCCAACAAUGCAAAAUACUUUUAAAUAUUGGCUUUUAAUUAUAUACUUUUAAUUAUAUGGCUCCGUAAAACGGCGUAAAUAAAAGUGUUCCGAGUGCAUAUAAAUUCUGAAAAACAGUGAAUCUAUAAAAUAGAUAGUGUCUUACUUAGCUAAACAUAAUUAUUUUCACCAAAAACAUCCAAUUUGCUGCAAAAUUGUCAUUGUUUAUGUUUGUGUUGAACCCGCGCAAGAAUGCAUUAACAAUGGAAUAAAGUAGCUACGUUCCAAUUUUAAAAUCGAAAAUUUCGAAAUGGAGUGCGAUGUUUGCAAGCAAGUUACGCGAACAUUUAAAUGUGACAACUGUUUGAAGAGAUUGUGUAAGGGUUGUGCAGCUCUUACGUCCUCUGAAGUAAAAGUGAUAGAAUUAAAAGAUCGUGUUAUGAAGUUCUUCUGCAAAAAUUGCAAUGACUUUCACGGACUUAAACUUUUGAAUGAUCUUGUACAAAGCAAGCAAGAAAUAAUAUUAAGUAAGGAUGAAAUAAUCUCACUUCUUAAGCAAGAAAUAAAAGACUUAAAGUCAAAAAUCGAAGCCAUCCAAGCACCAGCAAUACCAUCAUUUGCAGAGGUUGUAAACAACAAAUCAUCCAUACCAAUAAAAACAAAAAAUCGGCCAAACUUAAUUAUAAAACCGAAGGGCACACAGGACUCUCAAGAAACAAAAACCGAUAUAAUGGAGAACAUCAAACCAGCAGAUAUUAAUGUAAGUAUUGAUAAAAGCCGAUCUUCACACCACGGAAGUUUAAUAAUUAAAUGCAAUGACACAGAGAGUGUUACGAAACUAAAAAAUGAAAUUAAACAAAAACUGGGUGAUUACUAUGAGGUAGAGGAAACAAAAUUACGGAAUCCGCAGGUCAAAAUAGUUGGAUAUCCUGCCAAGAAUAAAUCAGCAACUGAAGAAAUUGAAAAAUCUAUAAGAAUGCAAAAUACAUUUUUUAAUAAUGAAGAUUCAUUUAAAAUUACCUUUAUGAAGGAAACUAAAUUAAAUAAAAAAAACCAUCUUCGCCGACUGUUCCCCAAACCUCUUUAAAAAAAUCAUGUGGACCAAAAAAAUAUACAUUGGAUGGGAACGAUACCCUGCAUAUGAAAAUUUAGCAGUAAAACAGUGUUUUAAAGGUUGUGGAUAUUACCACAAAAGUCCAGACUGCCCAAAUGAAACCACCUGUUCAUACUGUGGAGGAGAACAUAAUCGAAAGGACUGUCACUUAACCCAAAAUAAAGAAAAUAGGAAAUGCGUGAAUUGUGAACAUUCAAAUAAAAAAUAUAAAACGAACCAUAAUCUCAAACAUGAUGCCACGGAUUCUGAAUGCCCCACAAACCUAUACCAUCUAGAAGUAUUAAAAAGUAAAAUAAAUUAUGGCUAGACAACAAGAAGUGGAGCUGCUUGAAACGAUAUCCAGUGAAAUUUUUAGUGAAACUGUGGAGCCUGUAGAGAUCUGUGGUAAAAUAGACACAGAUAAAAAACUUUUAAAUAUAAUGCAUGUUAACAUAAGAAGUGUAAAAAAAACUUUGAUGAACUGUUACUUUUUUUAGAGACUUUCAAAAUUUCUUUCUGUGAUGUUAUAGUCCUAAGUGAAUGUUUUCAACUCACCUCUUUUUUAGAAUUUACUAUUCAAGGCUUUACCACUCACUAUAGUAAUGGAAAUAUCACACGAAAUGAUGGUGUUCUUAUUAUGGUAAGAGACAAUCUAAAUGCUAAAGUGGCAUUUCACGAACUUGAUUCCACUAAAAUAAAGGUGGGUCGAAUAACUUUGGAACAUAAAAAUGUGCACUAUGAAAUCUCUUGUAUCUAUCGAUCUCCUCACUCAUCUAUCGAAAAUUUUGUACAGGAUCUUAAUGUAUAUUUUACAGGAAAGUCAGGAAACAAGUCAAAUAAUGUUGAAAUUUUAGUUGGAGACAUAAAUAUUAACCUCUUAACUAAUACUGAUUUAAACGUGGUAAAUUACAUUUCAACAUUUCAUAACAAGUUCAACAAGUUCAUAUGGUUUUCAAUCACAUAUAAACUCAAUCACCAGGCCAGAAUCAGGCACAUGUUUAGAUCAUAUAUUUGUAAAGAACAAUAAUAAAAUAAUUAACAUUCACACAAAACCGUAUAUAAUAAAUUAUGAUAUAACGGAUCAUUUUCCAAUAAUGUUAAAUUUUUCACAUGCUUUAAAUAUUAAGAGAAUAGAAAAUAUUGUAAAAACUGAUGUUAAAAAUAAAAUAAAUUACAUAAAACUAAAUUAUUUAUUUGAGAAUGAAAAUUGGAAUGACGUGUCUAAAACAAACAAUC
This 7630-nucleotide unclassified non-coding RNA is filed under the name Anthonomus grandis grandis. Its description in RNAcentral is "myb-like protein D". Lineage: Eukaryota; Metazoa; Arthropoda; Insecta; Coleoptera; Curculionidae. The record is from RNAcentral.